RNAcentral lists this ribosomal RNA (471 nucleotides) under Bolitoglossa stuarti (Stuart's mushroomtongue salamander). Its description in RNAcentral is "partial large subunit ribosomal RNA". It matches the Rfam family "Bacterial large subunit ribosomal RNA", at positions 1819 to 2597 of the family's 2925-position model. Lineage: Eukaryota; Metazoa; Chordata; Amphibia; Caudata; Plethodontidae. The record is from RNAcentral.
CGCCUUUUGAAAUAUAAAUAUAAAAGGUCCUGCCUGCCCAAUGACUUGCUUUAAUGGCCGCGGUAUUAUGACCGUGCAAAGGUAGCGUAAUCAUUUGUCUUCUAAAUAAAGACCAGUAUGAAUGGCUAAACGAAAGCCUCACUGUCUCUCUAACUCAGUCAAUGAAAUUGAUCUCCCCGUGCAGAAGCGGGAAUAUAAGUAUAAGACGAGAAGACCCUGUGGAGCUUUAAACUUUAGUUUUAGGUUGGGGCGACCAUGAGGUAUAAUAUAACCCUCACGAUACAUAACCAAGAAAGACAUUUCAAAUAUUGACCCAAUUAUUGAUCACGAACUAAGUUACCCCAGGGAUAACAGCGCAAUCCGCUCAAAGAGUCCAUAUCGACGAGCAGGUUUACGACCUCGAUGUUGGAUCAGGACUCCCAAAUAGUGCAACAGCUAUUAAAGGUUCGUUUGUUCAACGAUUAAAGUCCU